GUCUGAUUGUUGGUGUGAUUGUUCUUGUGUCCGGCUGCUCCCGAUGUAGAAGUGUGUGUUAGUGUGUGUAAGUGUGUGUUAGUGUGUGUAAGUGUGUGCAAGUGUGUGUUAGUGUGUGUUAGUGUGUGUAAGUGUGUGUUAGUGUGUAUUUGUAAGUGUGUGUUAGUGUGUGUAAGUGUGUGUUAGUGUGUGUGUGUAAGUGUGUGUUAGUGUGUGUUAGUGUGUGUAAGCGUGUGUUAAUGUGUGUAAGUGUGUGUUAGUGUGUGUAAGUGUGUGUAAGUGUGUGUUUGUGUGUGUAAAUGUGUGUUAGUGUGUAUAAGUGUGUGUUAGUGUGUGUUAGUGUGUGUUAGUGUGUGUUAGUGUGUGUUAGGGUGUGUGUGUAAGUGUGUGUUAGUGUGUGUAAAUGUGUGUUAGUGUGUGUAAGUGUGUGUUAGUGUGUGUAAGCGUGUGUUAGUGUGUGUUAGGGUGUGUGUGUAAGUGUGUGUUAGUGUGUUAGUGUGUGUAAGUGUGUGUUAGUGUGUGUAAGCGUGUGUAAGUGUGUGUUAGUGUGUGUAAGCGUGUGUUAGUGUGUGUUAGGGUGUGUGUGUUAGUGUUUGUUAGUGUGUGUAAAUGUGUGUUAGUGUGUGUUAGUGUGUGUUAGUGUGUGUUAGGGUGUGUGUGUUAGUGUUUGUUAGUGUGUGUAAAUGUGUGUUAGUGUGUGUAAGUGUGUGUUAGUGUGUGUUAGGGUGUGUGUGUUAGUGUUUGUUAUGUGUGUAAAUGUGUGUUAGUGUGUGUAAGUGUGUGUUAGUGUGUGUAAGCGUGUGUUAGUGUGUGUUAGGGUGUGUGUGUUAGUGUGUGUUAGUGUGUGUAAGUGUGUGUUAGUGUGUGUAAGCGUGUGUUAGUGUGUGUUAGGGUGUGUGUGUUAGUGUGUGUUAGUGUGUAAGUGUGUUAGUGUGUGUUAGGGUGUGUGUGUUAGUGUGUGUUAGUGUGUGUUAGUGUGUGUAAGUGUGUUAGUGUGUGUUAGGGUGUGUGUGUUAGUGUUUGUUAGUGUGUGUAAAUGUGUGUUAGUGUGUGUAAGCGUGUGUUAGUGUGUGUAAGUGUGUGUAAGUGUGUGUAAGCGUGUGUUAGUGUGUGUUAGGGUGUGUGUGUUAGUGUGUGUUAGUGUGUGUAAGUGUGUGUUAGUGUGUGUAAGUGUGUGUAAGUGUGUGUAAGCGUGUGUUAGUGUGUGUUAGGGUGUGUGUGUUAGUGUGUGUUAGUGUGUGUUAGUGUGUGUUAGUGUGUGUUAGGGUGUGUGUGUAAGUGUGUGUUAGUGUGUGUUAGGGUGUGUGUGUAAGCGUGUGUUAGUGUGUGUUAGGGUGUGUGUGUUAGGGUGUGUGUGUAAGCGUGUGUUAGUGUGUGUUAGGGUGUGUAAGCGUGUGUUAGUGUGUGUUAGGGUGUGUGUGUUAGUGUGUGUAAGUGUGUGUAAGUGUGUGUUAGUGUGUGUUAGUGUGUGUAAGCGUGUGUUAGUGUGUGUUAGGGUGUGUGUGUUAGUGUGUGUAAGUGUGUGUAAGUGUGUGUUAGUGUGUGUUAGUGUGUGUAAGCGUGUGUUAGUGUGUGUUAGGGUGUGUGUGUUAGUGUGUGUUAGUGUGUGUAAGUGUGUGUUAGUGAGCUGAGGUUCAGGAGCAGCCGGGUGAGGAGACUCUUCUCUCGGCUCAGCUCUUGGCAUUGCAGGGCUUUAUAAGGCUUUGCAGGGCCUCUCGCUCUCUCGCUAUCUCUAUCUAUCGCUUUCUCUGUCUAUCUGUCUGUCUGCCUUCUGUCUGUCUCUCUCUCUCUCUCUCUCUCUCUCUCUCUCUGUGUGUCUUUCUAUCUGUUUCUAUCUAUCUGUCUAUAUAUGUAAUUUUCCUCCUUUU
This is a long non-coding RNA of Ictalurus punctatus (channel catfish), 1868 nucleotides long. The record is from Ensembl. Lineage: Eukaryota; Metazoa; Chordata; Actinopteri; Siluriformes; Ictaluridae.